Molecule: long non-coding RNA, 238 nt
Filed under: Elaeis guineensis (African oil palm)
Lineage: Eukaryota; Viridiplantae; Streptophyta; Magnoliopsida; Arecales; Arecaceae
Description: long non-coding RNA (EGUI_LNC057354)
Source: RNAcentral
AAACCAAUUUAGGAACUUGGGUUAAUACAAUAUGCUAGUAUAUAAAAUUUGAAGAGAAAGAAACAAUUUUCCACCAGAAUGCCUAGGUUAUAUCUAAAAAUUUUCUCUAAUAUUCUACUUGUUUAAGGAUCAAAAUCUUACCUGAAUCGCAGCAGAACCAGGGAUCAAAUCCUAAAUUAUCUGAUAUAAACCUUCGCAGAGGUCUGGAUAUGCAGACCCUCUACUUCGCAUGCACGUC